This 356-nucleotide ribosomal RNA is filed under the name Actinomycetota bacterium. RNAcentral describes it as "partial 23S ribosomal RNA". It matches the Rfam family "Bacterial large subunit ribosomal RNA", at positions 2571 to 2925 of the family's 2925-position model. The record is from RNAcentral. Lineage: Bacteria; Bacillati; Actinomycetota.
GUUGGGCUGUUCGCCCAUUAAAGCGGUACGCGAGCUGGGUUCAGAACGUCGUGAGACAGUUCGGUCCCUAUCCACCAUGGGCGCUGGAGGCUUGAGAGGAGUCGUCCCUAGUACGAGAGGACCGGGAUGAACAGACCGCUGGUGUAUCAGUCGUCGUGCCAACGGCGCUGCUGAUUAGCUACGUCUGGACGGGAUAACCGCUGAAAGCAUCUAAGCGGGAAGCCCACCUCGAGAUGAGGCCUCCCAUCCCCUAGAGGGAGUAAGGGUCGUGGUAGACCACCACGUUGAUAGGCGGGACGUGGAAGCGCAGCAAUGCGUGAAGCGGACCCGUACUAAUGACCCGAGGUCUUGAUUUG